GCCCUCCCCCAGUCAUGAACCCCCGGAGGGGGCAGCGGAGGAAGGAGGAGCCGCCGACUCGGACGUGGACGCCUUUUUCCGGACAGUUCUGGAAACGGACGAGCUUUUCAUAAGAACCACUCAUUCCUGGAAGUGUGAGUUAGCGUCCCCCUCAUACACACCCACUGAAUCUUUGCUCGCCUCUGGUACGUAACACCCCCGCCCCCAUCUGCCUUCUGGCUGUUUGCGGCCCCUGCCACCUCCCAGCCCCCGGAUCUGUGGCUACCCAUGUUCCUUGGCUACACAGUCCCUUUCCCAGAAAAGAUGCCGACCACCCUUUUUUCCUACCACCUGUGGCCACGUUUCUCUGCUGACCAGGGCUUCUCCAUCUCCUCUUUACCUGUAGCUUCCACCAACUCAGGGAGGUAGAGCACCCCAUCUUCCAUGUCUGGAACCAUUUUGUGUAGAAUCUUUGUCCCAAAGAGUCCAGUAAGUUAUAAGGACCCUGCGCAUCUACCCCUCUCUCUGUAAAUUGGAUUAGAGGACGGUGAACUAGUGGGGUCAAGGAUCAGGUUAGCUCUGAAGACUCCCUGCACACCCAUCUGUUUCCUAACCUCAUUGCCUUGCCCUGGAGGUCAUCUGAGGGAAGGGGUGGGGUGCUUUGUUGGGGAGACUCCUGAUUUUAGAAGUCAAGACUUGGUCGGCCCAUAUGUUCAUUUUCUAGUUGGUCUGAAAAGGAAAGGACUGGAAGACAGGAAUUGAUGUCAGGGCUGGGAGAAUGUAGAGGGAGCCCCUGUUAUCUACCCUGCUUCCCAGGGAUAAUAAACACCUUCCCCCCACACACUGCCC
This is a non-coding RNA of Sus scrofa (pig), 828 nucleotides long. The record is from RefSeq and is a predicted model, not a curated record. Lineage: Eukaryota; Metazoa; Chordata; Mammalia; Artiodactyla; Suidae.